GGGGAGAUUGAACCGGGACAGACCAACGACAAGAAACAAAUUAGGAAACAUACCCUUAGUUCACGGGAAACACCCGCUUCCUGUUGAGUCUUGGAACACAGAUGCUCCACGGGAGUAUGGUGGUACAGACUAGAUAAGUUAGCUGCUAAGAUAGGGGAGAGCUUCAGAUGGGACUUCUGUAAGAAAUGAGACAUCAUGUCAAUGAGCCAGCAGUGAGGACUACAUUUCACAUACAAGUCGAAAUGCCACUGGAAUCCUCUGUGAACAACUUUUCUGUAACGGUCA
RNAcentral lists this small RNA (285 nucleotides) under Bos taurus (domestic cattle). Lineage: Eukaryota; Metazoa; Chordata; Mammalia; Artiodactyla; Bovidae. The record is from RNAcentral.